GAUGAACGCUGGCGGCGUGCCUAAUACAUGCAAGUCGAGCGAACAGAUAAGGAGCUUGCUCCUUUGACGUUAGCGGCGGACGGGUGAGUAACACGUGGGUAACCUACCUAUAAGACUGGAAUAACUCCGGGAAACCGGGGCUAAUGCCGGAUAACAUUUAGAACCGCAUGGUUCUAAAGUGCAAGAUGGUUUUGCUAUCACUUAUAGAUGGACCCGCGCCGUAUUAGCUAGUUGGUAAGGUAACGGCUUACCAAGGCAACGAUACGUAGCCGACCUGAGAGGGUGAUCGGCCACACUGGAACUGAGACACGGUCCAGACUCCUACGGGAGGCAGCAGUGGGGAAUAUUGGACAAUGGGCGCAAGCCUGAUCCAGCCAUACCGCGUGGGUGAAGAAGGCCUUCGGGUUGUAAAGCCCUUUUGUUGGGAAAGAAAAGCAGCAGGUUAAUACCCCGCUGUUCUGACGGUACCCAAAGAAUAAGCACCGGCUAACUUCGUG
RNAcentral lists this ribosomal RNA (497 nucleotides) under uncultured bacterium. Its description in RNAcentral is "partial 16S ribosomal RNA". It matches the Rfam family "Bacterial small subunit ribosomal RNA", at positions 28 to 507 of the family's 1533-position model. The record is from RNAcentral.